GUUCAGAUAAGUACUGGAGGCCAGGGCAGCAGGGAUGCUAAUGCCAUUUCACGGGGUAGACACCAGUGCAUUCGUUUGGUGAGUUACCAAACUCCCACAUUUUCUGUUUACAGGGCCGGGUACCGAGACGAAACAGCAGGCCUAUCUAUUUAGAACAUUUCCGUAAACCAGACCACAUCAGAAGAGCCAGGUGACGAUGCUGCUGGCUGCAGAAGGUGCAGAAGGUACCAGGUUUGAAAACAGCAUGUUUUUCUACCGUAUAGAUUGAAUGCUGAGGAGUACUGAAUUGGUGGCCGGAGUCACUGGGUUUCUAGUGCAAAUAACUCAAUGUUCUAAUCGUAAAUCAAAGUUCCAGGAUCUGCUUUUUCUUUCGAGGGGCACUGUACAAAAAAGGAAGUGUGUGUGUGUGUGUGUGUGUGUGUGUGUGUUGCGCGCACGCGCGUGUAGGGAGAUCAGAACCAAACGCUCCCGCGGAGGAGUGGAUGGGAAGGAACCGCGAGGACUCGGAGGCCAAGUCUUCAGAAUAAAGUUCUCGUCGGCCCUGAGAUUCCAACGUCUGUCAUCGAGGCCUGAACCCCCAAAAUUGCACCUGGCGCUCCUCAUCUCAGCGAGUACGAAGGACUCUCAAGAGGGAGUCAGUGCGGGCGGCUGUUGCCUCCUUGGAGGGCGGAAGCAGCGGAACGCGGUCUCCCAGUCUCUCCCCCGGCUCUGCGGCCAGCGCCUGAGGCCUGGCGGCUGCAGGGCUAACCCUCCGUUCUUCCCUUCCUUCCCCGAUGAGCUCACUUCCUCCCGGCGCAGCUGCCUUCCGUCGGCUGGAGCCGAAUCCCGGCCCCGCGGCUGUGGCGGGGCGCGUUGGGGGCCUUUUCUGUGCUCCUCUCCCGCCUGGAGAGCUUCUUGGAGAGACGGUCGGGAACUGAAAAGCAGUCCUUACUAAGGAAAGGGAAAGUGGAAAUCUCUGAAAUGAAAGGAAAUGGCUUCUUUCGUGGCCAAAUUAAGAGCGCGGACUGGAAGGCAUGGGAGGCCAAGGAGAUUCUUCUAGAUGCCCCCCUGGACUCAGGCCCAGCGUCUGGGUCUCUUUCCCUUCCUCCUCCCCCCUUUCUCCACCGCCCCAUUUCCCCUUGCUUUUCACUUUUAUUCACUUGUGUUUUAAAAAUUCAUAUACGGGCACAUUUAAAAAGCAAUUUCGCAUUUUAAAGUCGGCAGCAGCAGAGGGAGAAUUACAAAUAGGAUUGGAUUUAAUUAGCUGGUAAUGCUCCUCUCAUGCCCUAUAAUUAAACAGAAAUUCU
This 1286-nucleotide long non-coding RNA is filed under the name Marmota monax (woodchuck). Lineage: Eukaryota; Metazoa; Chordata; Mammalia; Rodentia; Sciuridae. The record is from RNAcentral.